UGGCAAUAGGAGAUAUUGUCUGUGUGUGUACUCAUACAUAUUAAAUAUGAUGGAGAGAGGGUUAUUGUGAAAUAGGAGGUAAGAGGAGCAGCGUCUGAGAUAGCUCAGUAGAUACCUGCUUCGGUGGCUCAGUCCAGUGGGACACGGGAUCUAGAAAUCACCUUGGAAACCCUUGCUAGCUCAGCCCACACUUCUAAAAGUAUGCAAGGCAAGACCACCAGACAAGAGACUUUUACCGGGCCAACUGUUGCAAAAUGAUUGGAGGCAACACAGGAGAAUUUCCCAGCGCAUCGAAUCUCCUGGAAAAUAGAAGAGCUGGUCCAUGGAUACAAAGCCCCACAGAGAAGACAGUAGGAUGUGCCUCAAAACAGAGAUGAUGAUGUGAUCUUGUUGAUGAGUGCAGGACUAACAUAGAGACAUUUAGCAAAAGACACAAGGACAUCUCUUUAUUGGAGGGCAUUCUCAAAUAUCAC
This 473-nucleotide long non-coding RNA is filed under the name Cricetulus griseus (Chinese hamster). RNAcentral describes it as "lncRNA (ENSCGRG00000026439.1)". Lineage: Eukaryota; Metazoa; Chordata; Mammalia; Rodentia; Cricetidae. The record is from RNAcentral.